UGGUUCCGGCAUCGAUGAAGAACGCAGCGAAAUGCGAUAAGUAAUGUGAAUUGCAGAAUUCAGUGAAUCAUCGAAUCUUUGAACGCACAUUGCGCCCCUUGGUAUUCCGAGGGGCAUGCCUGUCCGAGCGUCAUUUCACCAAUCGAGCCCCGCUCGGUGUUGGGCGCGCGGCCGGGGAGCCCCCCCCCAGUGGGGACCCCCCGGCCCGCCCGAAAUGCAUCGGCGAGGACACCGACCCCGGCGUGUUGAGAAUCCCACGGUUCGUACGCCCGGAGCACCGGUGGCCCUCCGCCGCGACCUCCACACCAGGUUGACCUCGGAUCAGGUAGGGAUACCCGCUGA
RNAcentral lists this unclassified non-coding RNA (342 nucleotides) under uncultured fungus. RNAcentral describes it as "partial contains 5.8S ribosomal RNA and internal transcribed spacer 2". The stretch from base 1 to 133 matches the Rfam family "5.8S ribosomal RNA", at positions 22 to 154 of the family's 154-position model. Lineage: Eukaryota; Fungi. The record is from RNAcentral.